UACGUAGGGUGCGAGCGUUGUCCGGAAUUAUUGGGCGUAAAGAGCUCGUAGGCGGUGUGUCGCGUCGGCCGUGAAAACCUGGGGCUCAACUCUGGGCGUGCGGUCGAUACGGGCAUCACUUGAGUUCGGCAGGGGAGACUGGAAUUCCUGGUGUAGCGGUGAAAUGCGCAGAUAUCAGGAGGAACACCGAUUGCGAAGGCAGCUCGCUGGGACGUCACUGACGCUGAGACGCGAAAGCGUGGGGAGCAAACAGG
RNAcentral lists this ribosomal RNA (254 nucleotides) under uncultured bacterium. RNAcentral describes it as "partial 16S ribosomal RNA". It matches the Rfam family "Bacterial small subunit ribosomal RNA", at positions 524 to 776 of the family's 1533-position model. The record is from RNAcentral.